This 84-nucleotide transfer RNA is filed under the name Saprospirales bacterium. Its description in RNAcentral is "tRNA-Leu". It matches the Rfam family "tRNA". From Rfam's summary of the family: Transfer RNA (tRNA) molecules are approximately 80 nucleotides in length. Their secondary structure includes four short double-helical elements and three loops (D, anti-codon, and T loops). Further hydrogen bonds mediate the characteristic L-shaped molecular structure. tRNAs have two regions of fundamental functional importance: the anti-codon, which is responsible for specific mRNA codon recognition, and the 3' end, to which the tRNAs corresponding amino acid is attached (by aminoacyl-tRNA synthetases). tRNAs cope with the degeneracy of the genetic code in two manners: having more than one tRNA (with a specific anti-codon) for a particular amino acid; and 'wobble' base-pairing, i.e. permitting non-standard base-pairing at the 3rd anti-codon position. The record is from RNAcentral. Lineage: Bacteria; Pseudomonadati; Bacteroidota; Saprospiria; Saprospirales. RNAcentral also lists the same sequence under 1 other name.
GCCGCAGUGGUGGAAUUGGUAGACACGUACGUUUCAGGGGCGUAUGGUUGCAAGACCGUGGGGGUUCGAGUCCCCCCUGCGGCA